RNAcentral lists this ribosomal RNA (1008 nucleotides) under Triticum aestivum (bread wheat). RNAcentral's name for it is "partial small subunit ribosomal RNA". The record is from RNAcentral. Lineage: Eukaryota; Viridiplantae; Streptophyta; Magnoliopsida; Poales; Poaceae.
AUGGGUAGAAUCAAUGUCAACCCUAUUUGGGGGAAGAUUUGGAUAUUGUCUUGUCCGGCAAAGGUAAAAAUCUUUAUUUGGCGUACGUUACAUAGUACACUCCCAUGUCGCGUUACACUGGCCAAUAGACACAUCAAGGUCACGCCUAUAUGCCCCUCAUGCACAAAUGAACAGGAAGACACGAAACACGUAUUGUUCCUCUGUCAGAAGGCAAAAGAGGUUUGGAAAAAACUGGGGUUGUGGGGCGUGAUUAAAGAAGCAUGUGUUGUUGAUAGGGCAGGAGAAGCAAUCCUUGAAUUUUUACUUCUGAAGCCAGAAAAUGAAAUAGCUACUCUAGGAAUCCAGAAUGUACGUGAACUAAUAGCUAUAACCGCUUGGUAUUUAUGGUGGGAUAGACAUAGGCUGGUUCAUGAAGGUAAGGCUCAAAACGCACAACUAUCCUCCAUGGGGAUUAGGGCAAUAACAACAAACUAUGUAAAUGCCCAUUCCCCGAAUGCAUCUAUUAAAAAAGGAGGAUGGAGCAAACCUCCUAUGGGACUUGUUAAGCUAAAUACUGAUGCUUCGUUUGAUCAUGAUCGGCUUAGUGGUACAACUGGGGCUGUUCUCAGAGAUGAUAAAGGAAGAUUUAUUGCCGGCGGAAACUGGAAGUUUGACUGGUGUGCAGAUGUUCUGACAGCGGAAGUUUUGGCCCUAAGGUUUGGAUUAUUACUUGCACAGAGGGCGGGAUGCAAUCGCCUAGAUGUCAACUCAGACAAUAUUGAAGUCAUCAACACAAUGAAGAAUGGAGGACAAUCAGCGGGAGCGACGGCGGCGGUUUUUGAUGAUUGCUAUUUUUUGGCUUGUGAUUUUUCUCUUACUAGGUUUGAGCAUUGUAAUAGAGAGGCAAAUAGGGUGACUCAUGAACUAGCUAAAUUAGCGAAAAUUUCCGUAACAAAUGAAUAUUUUGAGGAACCCAUGGAUGAAAUUGUACCUCUUCUUAUGGACGAUGUAACUGUUAUUUGCAAUUAA